Molecule: ribosomal RNA, 486 nt
Filed under: uncultured bacterium
Lineage: Bacteria
Description: partial 16S ribosomal RNA
Rfam family: Bacterial small subunit ribosomal RNA
Source: RNAcentral
AUUGAACGCUGGCGGCAUGCCUUACACAUGCAAGUCGAACGGCAGCACGGGUGCUUGCACCUGGUGGCGAGUGGCGAACGGGUGAGUAAUACAUCGGAACAUGUCCUGUAGUGGGGGAUAGCCCGUCGAAAGCCGGAUUAAUACCCCAUACUAUCUACGUAUUACAUCGGGGGACCUUCCGUCCUCGCACUAUCCGGUUGGCCGAUGGCUGAUUAGCUCGUUGGUGGGGUAAAGGCCUACCAAGGCGACGAUCAGUAGCUGGUCUGAGAGGACGACCAGCCACAAUGGGACGGAGACACGGCCCAGACUCCUACGGGAGGCAGCAGUGGGGAAUUUUGGAAAAUGGGCGAAAGCCUGAUCCAGCAAUGCCGCGUGUGUGAAGAAGGCCUUCGGGUUGUAAAGCACGUUUGUCCGGAAAGAAAUCCUUGGCACUAAUACGGUCGGGGGAUGACGGUACCGGAAGAAUAAGGACCGGCUAACUACGUG